GGCUGAAACUCGCCUACAUGAAGCUGGAGUUGCUGUAAUCGCGAAUCAGCAUGUCGCGGUGAAUACGUUCCCGGGCCUUGUACACACCGCCCGUCACACCAUGAGAGUUGGCAAUACCCAACGUACGUGAUCUAACCCGCAAGGGAGGAAGCGUCCUAAGGUAGGGUCAGCGAUUGGGGUGAAGUCGUAACAAGGUAAC
Molecule: ribosomal RNA, 199 nt
Filed under: uncultured bacterium
Lineage: Bacteria
Description: partial 16S ribosomal RNA
Rfam family: Bacterial small subunit ribosomal RNA
Source: RNAcentral